Molecule: ribosomal RNA, 398 nt
Filed under: uncultured bacterium
Lineage: Bacteria
Description: bacterial SSU rRNA
Rfam family: Bacterial small subunit ribosomal RNA
Source: RNAcentral
GGAAUAUUGCGCAAUGGGGGCAACCCUGACGCAGCAACGCCGCGUGCGGGACGAAGGCCUUCGGGUUGUAAACCGCUUUCAGCAGGGAAGACAUCGACGGUACCUGCAGAAGAAGCCCCGGCUAACUACGUGCCAGCAGCCGCGGUAACACGUAGGGGGCGAGCGUUAUCCGGAUUCAUUGGGCGUAAAGCGCGCGCAGGCGGCGCGCCAAGCGGGACCUCUAAUCUGGGGGCUCAACCCCCAGCCGGGUCCCGAACUGGCGCGCUCGUGUCCGGUAGGGGAGGUCGGAAUUCCCGGUGUAGCGGUGGAAUGCGCAGAUAUCGGGAGGAACACCGAUGGCGAAAGCAGACCUCUGGGCCGCGACAGACGCUGAGGCGCGAAAGCUAGGGGAGCGUACA